GAUACACACGAGUACAUCAACUCCAAUCUCAAUCGCUUCAACCGUAAUGCUGCAAAGAACUACAGGUACUGCUGCUCACCAACAAAGAUGAUCCACAUUUCCACUCUUCCUCAGGACAUCACUGAAGAGGAGAUAGUGAGCCAUUUGGAGGAGCAUGGCACCAUUGUCAACACCAAACUCUUUGAGAUGAAUGGGAAGAAGCAGGCUCUUGUUAUGUUUGAAACUGAAGAGCAGGCCACUGAAGCACUAGUGUGCAAACACGCGAGCUCACUUGCUGGGUCAAUAAUCCGUAUUUCCUUCUCCCAGCUACAAUCAAUU
RNAcentral lists this unclassified non-coding RNA (318 nucleotides) under Hevea brasiliensis (rubber tree). Lineage: Eukaryota; Viridiplantae; Streptophyta; Magnoliopsida; Malpighiales; Euphorbiaceae. The record is from RNAcentral.